RNAcentral lists this ribosomal RNA (253 nucleotides) under uncultured archaeon. RNAcentral describes it as "partial 16S ribosomal RNA". It matches the Rfam family "Archaeal small subunit ribosomal RNA", at positions 474 to 727 of the family's 1478-position model. The record is from RNAcentral.
AACCAGCACCUCAAGUGGUCAGGAUGAUUAUUGGGCCUAAAGCAUCCGUAGCCUGUUCUGUAAGUUUUCGGUUAAAUCUAUGCGCUCAACGUAUAGGCUGCCGAAAAUACUGCAGAACUAGGGAGUGGGAGAGGUAGACGGUACUCGGUAGGAAGGGGUAAAAUCCUUUGAUCUAUUGAUGACCACCUGUGGCGAAAGCGCUCUGCUGGGCCAUAACUGACGCUCAUGGACGAAAGCCAGGGGAGCGAAAGGG